RNAcentral lists this ribosomal RNA (425 nucleotides) under uncultured bacterium. Its description in RNAcentral is "partial 16S ribosomal RNA". It matches the Rfam family "Bacterial small subunit ribosomal RNA", at positions 354 to 796 of the family's 1533-position model. The record is from RNAcentral.
GUGGGGAAUCUUGCGCAAUGGGCGAAAGCCUGACGCAGCCAUGCCGCGUGAAUGAUGAAGGUCUUAGGAUUGUAAAAUUCUAUCACCGGGGACGAUAAUGACGGUACCCGGAGAAGAAGCUCCGGCUAACUUCGUGCCAGCAGCCGCGGUAAUACGAAGGGGGCUAGCGUUGCUCGGAAUUACUGGGCGUAAAGGGCGCGUAGGCGGACAGCUUAGUCAGAGGUGAAAGCCCAGGGCUCAACCUUGGAAUUGCCUUUGAUACUGGCUGUCUUGAGUACGGGAGAGUUGAGUGGAACUCCGAGUGUAGAGGUGAAAUUCGUAGAUAUUCGGAAGAACACCAGUGGCGAAGGCGACUCACUGGCCCGUUACUGACGCUGAGGCGCGAAAGCGUGGGGAGCAAACAGGAUUAGAUACCCUGGUAGUCC